CGAUAAGAAGUUGAAGUCAGAUAACCACCUUCUACAUCCGGCUCCAUCUGAAUUACCCAUAAUGCUUCCGUAUUACCCGAAGUUUUUCGGUUCUGAUUUUUCCUUCUGAAUAGAUCCCAAUAGACAUCUCCUUCUUCCGAUUUGUGAGACCCGAACCUGACUUUCAUCAAACCUGUAUUGGGAUUAUCAAUCACUUCAGAAGCUAAACGAAUAGCAUCAUCGUAGAGUCCCAACGAUAUACAGGUCUCAGCAAGGUAAUGUUUUGCCACUAGAUUGGAAAUCUUUCCAUCAACUACAGUAAAGAAUAAAAAUCAAACGAUAUUCUGUAAGUAGUGGCGAACGAACAUGGAAAUGGGUUAUAGAUUUGAUAAAAUUCUAUAAAUAUAAAUUUAUAUAAAUGGUAUUAUAUUCCAGUGUAUUUUAAUUUUAUCAAAUAAUUGAGUAGAACGAAAUAGGUGUAAUUUUGUUUGAAGAUAAGGGAACCAUCCUUUAAGCCUAAAUAUAAUAAAUAAUCGAUAGUGAACUAGUACUGCGAAGGAAAGGUGAAAUAGAACUUACGAAAUUGAAAAGAUCUUGAAAUCUAAUGCUUAUAUCAAUUGAAGCUUCAAAAGAAGUGACAAUGUACCUUUUGUAUAAUGGACCAGUAAGUUUAUUUAUAUAGCAAGUUUAAAUCAAAAGAUGUAGACUUAGUAAAAGCGAAUUUGAAUAGAAUUUAUAAGUUAUAUAAAUAAGACCCGAAACCAAGUGAUCUAAUUAUGAAUAAGUUGACAAAAUAUUAAUUUAUUUUUGAGGACUGAACCCGUGUCUGUUGCAUAAGAUUGGGAUGAUUUGUGAUUAGGGGUGAAAGGCUAAUCAAACUUGGAGAUAGCUGGUUUUCUGUGAAAUCUAUUUACGUAAAGUGUUAAAAUUAAUAUUUUGUGGUAGAGAUAUCGAUAAAAGAGGGUUGCCCAUAAAGCUUUACCAAUUUUAAGGAAACUUCGAAUACAAAAUAUUAUUUUGAUAAUCGGACUUAUAAUGCUAAGGUUGUAGGUCGAGAGGGAAACAGCCCAGAUUGUUUAUUAAGGUCUUUAAAUUAUAAAUUUUCUCAUAAGAAAUGAAUUUUUAAAUUGUGAUAACUAAGAGUUAGGUUCAGAAGCAGCCAUUCUUUAAAGAAAGCGUAAAAGCUCAUUGGUUUAAUUUAAAAAUUCGGACGAUGUAGGGAGAUUUGAAGAAAUAUACCGAAAUAGCAAAUUUAAAUAAAUAAGUUUAAAUGGUAACAGAACGUUCUGUAUGCAAAAAGAUAAAUUGAAAAAUUUAUUAGUGUAUCAGAAGUGAUAAUACUGGUAUGAGUAAUCUAAAUAAUAUAAAAUAGGUAAUUAAUUAUUAUCGUCGAAAAUUUAAGGUUUUUAAUUUAUAAUUGUUAAACAAAAUUAAGUAAUGCGGUCUCUAAAAAUUAGGUGAAAACUGAUUUUGAUGAGUAUUAUUAAAAAGGACUUAAACAAUUAAAGGAUAUACUUUAAUUAAAUUUAAUUCAAAAAACUUUUUUAUAAAACCGUACUAAAAACCAACACAGGUAAAUGGGUAGAGUAUACUAAGACGAUAAAGUGAAUCAUAGUGAAGGAACUCGGCAAAUUAACCUUGUAACUUCGGAAGAAAAGGUUUUUAUUAAGUAUAUUACUUAAUAAAAUAAUAUAAAAGGGGGUAGCGACUGUUUAAUAAAAACACAGGACUUUGCUAAAUCGUAAGAUGAUGUAUAAGGUCUGACACCUGCCAGGAACUGUGUAGUUAAAAUUAAAGAUAAUUAUUUUUAAUAUAAGCAGCAGUAAUCGGCGGCCAUAACUCUGAUGGUCCUAAGGUAGCGAAAUUCCUUGUCAACUAAUUAUUGACGUGCAUGAAUGGUGUAACGACUUCCCCACUGUCUCCACUAUGAGCUUUGUGAAAUUGAAAUAUUCGUGAAGAUGCCGCAAGAGCGGCGAGAUGAGCUAUCUGCGCCCGGACGGCAAGAGCCAGGUCACCGUGGAGUACGACGAGAACAACAAGCCCGUGCGUGUGGACGCCGUGGUCAUCUCCAGCCAGCACAGCGAGAGCGUGAGCAU
RNAcentral lists this ribosomal RNA (2075 nucleotides) under human gut metagenome. RNAcentral describes it as "bacterial LSU rRNA". It matches the Rfam family "Bacterial large subunit ribosomal RNA", at positions 1 to 2519 of the family's 2925-position model. The record is from RNAcentral.